RNAcentral lists this ribosomal RNA (468 nucleotides) under uncultured bacterium. Its description in RNAcentral is "partial 16S ribosomal RNA". It matches the Rfam family "Bacterial small subunit ribosomal RNA", at positions 28 to 507 of the family's 1533-position model. The record is from RNAcentral.
GAUGAACGCUGGCGGCGUGCUUAAUACAUGCAAGUCGAACGGAAAGGCCCUGCUUUUGCGCGGCGCUCGAGAGGCGCACGCGUGUGUAACACGCGAGUAACCCGUCCUUGUCUGUCGGAGAUCUCCACGAAACUGGGGCUCAUACCGCAUAGGAGCUCCUGCUGCACGGGGGUGGUUGGAAAGUUUCGGCGGUUGUGGCUGUACUAGCGGCUUAUCAGCUUGUUGGUGGGGUUGUGGCGUACCAAGGUUGCGACGGGUAGCCGGCCUGGGAGGGCGACCGGCCACAAUAGGCCUGCGGUACGCCGCAGUAUGCUACGGGAGGCAGCAGUGGGGAAUAUUGCACAGUGGGCGGACGCCUGAUGCAGCGGCGCCGCGAGCGGGAUGACGGCCUUCGAGUUGUAAACCGCUUUCGCCUGUGACGAAGCGUGAGUGACGGUAAUGGGUAAAGAAGCACCGGCUAACUACGUG